CCGUAGGUGAACCUGCGGAAGGAUCAUUAUCGUUGGGCUUCGGCCCAUU
This 49-nucleotide ribosomal RNA is filed under the name Preussia sp. 6 BB-2014. RNAcentral describes it as "partial 18S ribosomal RNA". The record is from RNAcentral. Lineage: Eukaryota; Fungi; Ascomycota; Dothideomycetes; Pleosporales; Sporormiaceae.